RNAcentral lists this transfer RNA (76 nucleotides) under Rhodovulum sulfidophilum. RNAcentral describes it as "tRNA-Thr". It matches the Rfam family "tRNA". From Rfam's summary of the family: Transfer RNA (tRNA) molecules are approximately 80 nucleotides in length. Their secondary structure includes four short double-helical elements and three loops (D, anti-codon, and T loops). Further hydrogen bonds mediate the characteristic L-shaped molecular structure. tRNAs have two regions of fundamental functional importance: the anti-codon, which is responsible for specific mRNA codon recognition, and the 3' end, to which the tRNAs corresponding amino acid is attached (by aminoacyl-tRNA synthetases). tRNAs cope with the degeneracy of the genetic code in two manners: having more than one tRNA (with a specific anti-codon) for a particular amino acid; and 'wobble' base-pairing, i.e. permitting non-standard base-pairing at the 3rd anti-codon position. Lineage: Bacteria; Pseudomonadati; Pseudomonadota; Alphaproteobacteria; Rhodobacterales; Paracoccaceae. The record is from RNAcentral.
GCCGCGUUAGCUCAGCUGGUAGAGCAACCGCCUUGUAAGCGGUAGGUCGUCAGUUCGAGUCUGACACGCGGCACCA